GUGGGGAAUUUUGGACAAUGGGCGCAAGCCUGAUCCAGCAAUGCCGCGUGCAGGAAGAAGGCCUUCGGGUUGUAAACUGCUUUUGUACGGAACGAAAAGGCUCUGGCUAAUACCUGGAGCUCAUGACGGUACCGUAAGAAUAAGCACCGGCUAACUACGUGCCAGCAGCCGCGGUAAUACGUAGGGUGCGAGCGUUAAUCGGAAUUACUGGGCGUAAAGCGUGCGCAGGCGGUGCUGUAAGACAGGCGUGAAAUCCCCGGGCUUAACCUGGGAAUGGCGCUUGUGACUGCAGUGCUGGAGUGUGGCAGAGGGGGAUGGAAUUCCGCGUGUAGCAGUGAAAUGCGUAGAUAUGCGGAGGAACACCGAUGGCGAAGGCAAUCCCCUGGGCCUGCACUGACGCUCAUGCACGAAAGCGUGGGGAGCAAACAGGAUUAGAAACCCUGGUAGUCC
RNAcentral lists this ribosomal RNA (450 nucleotides) under uncultured bacterium. RNAcentral describes it as "partial 16S ribosomal RNA". It matches the Rfam family "Bacterial small subunit ribosomal RNA", at positions 354 to 796 of the family's 1533-position model. The record is from RNAcentral.